Non-coding RNA from Oryza nivara, 208 nucleotides. The record is from Rfam. NCBI's taxonomy places the organism in Eukaryota, Viridiplantae, Streptophyta, Magnoliopsida, Poales, Poaceae.
CCCAAGUGCAGUUUUGUACUAUUCAACGUUUAACGUUGAACGUUCGUUUUAUUUGAAAUUUUUUUAUUAUUAGUAUUUUUAUUACUAUUAGAUGAUAAAACAUAAAUAGUACUUUAUGUGUGACUAAAUAUUUUUAAAUUUUUCACAAAUUUUUCAAAUAAGACGGACGGUUAAACGUUGGGCACGGAUAUCCAUGGCUACACUUAUU